GACGAACCGUGCGAACGUUAUUCGGAAUCACUGGGUUUAAAGGGUGCGUAGGUGGGCAAGUAAGUCAGUGGUGAAAUCUCCGGGCUUAACCCGGAAACUGCCAUUGAUACUAUUUGUCUUGAAUACUGUGGAGGUCAGCGGAAUAUGUCAUGUAGCGGUGAAAUGCUUAGAUAUGACAUAGAACACCAAUUGCGAAGGCAGCUGGCUACACAAAUAUUGACACUGAGGCACGAAAGCGUGGGGAUCAAACAGG
RNAcentral lists this ribosomal RNA (253 nucleotides) under uncultured bacterium. Its description in RNAcentral is "partial 16S ribosomal RNA". It matches the Rfam family "Bacterial small subunit ribosomal RNA", at positions 524 to 776 of the family's 1533-position model. The record is from RNAcentral.